UACCAUGAAGCCCAGUGACAGAAAACAGCCGGCGGAUCUGAUUAGCAGCUCUGGCGCGCUAAGGGAUGGUUGGAUCUCGCCCCCUGAAGAGGAAACUCUUGUGGAAUCUUCAGGAAACGGUGGUGCUGCCAUGUGGAAAACCGGCUACCGCUUUUCUGUUGCAGUCUCCUGCCUGCAUAGGCUACUGGUCUUGUUAGAUGGAUAUGGAGGCUUUUUUUCUUCUACCUCAAGUGCCCUCUAGCGUGCAAUAUCUGUGCAGGUUGCUAUGUAGAAGGAGGUGAAAAGAAUACCCUGGAGUCUGGCUCAUUAAUGCAGCCCUGAAGUCUUCUUCAAAGCAAAUCUUGUAUGCUGCAGAUUUGGGGAGCAAAGAGUAUUGGAGAAUCAGAGGAAGACAAUAAUGUAAGGAAAAA
Molecule: long non-coding RNA, 410 nt
Filed under: Ictidomys tridecemlineatus (thirteen-lined ground squirrel)
Lineage: Eukaryota; Metazoa; Chordata; Mammalia; Rodentia; Sciuridae
Description: lncRNA (ENSSTOG00000033655.1)
Source: RNAcentral